UGCACUCAAAAAUAUCCAACUGCAGACCCGCAGCACCAGCAAUUUCAGAACAGCAGCCCCAGAACGGAAGUGAGGGGCGGAGUUAUUGAUAACGAGAUAAGCAUGGCGGAGAGCACGUAAGAUGACAGCCAAAAUUGCUCCUGGCGCAUGGCUGCUACUGAAUAACAAGGAUGUCCCCCAACAAAUUGGUGGUGUGGACUAUGGAGUCUUCAUGUUGAUGUAUGCUCUAUAUCUUGUUUUGGGAGCACCCUUUGAUUUGACAUCUUAGAGAAACCCUUCAAGAGGCCCUUCCAAGUGGAGAACAAACUACGCUUAGCAGCAGUGAAGAGUUCCCAGUAAUCCGACACAUGACAGAAGCUGUGAAAUGGCUCCUUUCCAACAGACAUCUGCUCAGGGGCCCAGUGGAAGCCUCUUUUCCUUACAAUGGAUGGAGAGGACAAGGAAAAGGCCCUCAACAAUCUCCUGGAACAAUCAGAAGCUUCCAAAGAGCCCUUCACAUUUCAUUUUGUGUUCAGGAAUGACAUGGAGUUAUUUUUGCAGGAAUGUCAUGACAAAAUGGGCCUAAGAGUGAAUUGUUCAUUUGAGGAAAUUUUAUUUAAUUAUUUGUUGUAUAAAGUUUGAUUGUUUCUUUUAAAAUUAUGUUGCUGUUUUUUUAUUUUUUAUAAUAAUAUC
Molecule: long non-coding RNA, 672 nt
Organism: Myxocyprinus asiaticus (Chinese sucker)
Lineage: Eukaryota; Metazoa; Chordata; Actinopteri; Cypriniformes; Catostomidae
Exons: 6
Source: RefSeq, a predicted model, not a curated record